Non-coding RNA from Schistosoma rodhaini, 45 nucleotides. The record is from Rfam. NCBI's taxonomy places the organism in Eukaryota, Metazoa, Platyhelminthes, Trematoda, Strigeidida, Schistosomatidae.
AUCCAGCUGAAGAGUCCCAAAUAGGACGAAAUGCGCGUCCUGGAU